AGACAUGAUGCACAUCUAUCAAGGUCCGCACCCUCCCAUCAUACAUCCUCAGCCUGAUGGAACCUACUCCCGCUACACCACAAGAACUUCCAUCUCCUAGUAUCACUCGCUGCCUCUCAUCCAUUUGUGUAUAAGAAGUGAACUAUGCGCAGUGAGGUGUACAAUGAUAAGAGCUAGUAGAAUCUAGUAUCCAGAUUUGUCUCCUCCCUGUGUCUAGCCGACAAUAUCA
RNAcentral lists this long non-coding RNA (229 nucleotides) under Elaeis guineensis (African oil palm). RNAcentral describes it as "long non-coding RNA (EGUI_LNC033614)". Lineage: Eukaryota; Viridiplantae; Streptophyta; Magnoliopsida; Arecales; Arecaceae. The record is from RNAcentral.